UUUGUAACACAAAGAUUUUUAAUUUUAUUUCUAAGAGUGAUAUGUUAAUUGAGUUCUCUAAUAUCUAGUUUCUUGGGAGGUAAAUUAAAUUUAGCUUUUCUAUAAAGUUUAUGGAAAAAGUAAUGAUAGGGGGGAUUAGCUCUUUAUCACAUAAUUUUAUAAGGAGAAUAAGCAUAUAAAUUGAACUAGGCUUAAAAUUAGCUAUGUUAAUAAAGUGUUAUAAAUAAUAUUAAAGCUAUAAAUUAUUUAUAUAUCCUUUAAAUUCAUAUCAAGAAUUAAUUUCAAAUUUUAUUUAAUUAGGUAUAAUGAGUGUAUUAGUAUAUGGUAUAGUGAAAGGAAAGAAUGUUAAAUGGAAACGAGAUUUUAUAUUUAUUAAAAUAUUUUUAAGGAAUUCGGCAAAUAAAUUAUUUCUGCCUGUUUAACAAAAACAUGUCUAUAUGAAUGAGAUAUAAAGUCUAGCCUGCCCAUUGGAGUCUAAAAGGCCGCGGUAUUAUGACCGUGCUAAGGUAGCAUAAUCAUUAGUCUUUUAAUUGAAGGCUGGAAUGAAUGGUUGGACAAGAAAUAAGCUGUCUUAAAUAAAAAUAUUGAACUUAACUUUUAAGUGAAAAGGCUUAAAUUUUCUAAAGGGACGAUAAGACCCUAUAAAACUUUAUAUUUAAAAAUAAUUGCUAUUAUUAUUUAAAGAGUUUAUUUUUAAAUAUUUUAUUGGGGUGAUAAGGAUAAAAUAUAAGACAACUGUCUUUUAUUUUAACAAUAAUUUUUGAGUAAAUGAUCUUAAUAAAGGAAUAAAAGAUUAAGUUACUUUAGGGAUAACAGCGUAAUUUUCUUUGAGAGUUCUUAUCGACAAGAAAGUUUGCGACCUCGAUGUUGAAUUAAAAGUUCUUUAUAGAGUAGAGACUAUAUUAGAAGGUCUGUUCGACCUUUAAAAUUUUACAUGAUUUGAGUUCAGACCGGUGUGAGCCAGGUUGGUUUCUAUCUUUUAGGAAGGAAUUAAUUGUUUUAGUACGAAAGGAUUAAAUAAUUAGAAAAUUUUUUAUUAUU
This 1041-nucleotide ribosomal RNA is filed under the name Astacus astacus (noble crayfish). RNAcentral's name for it is "16S ribosomal RNA". The stretch from base 349 to 1041 matches the Rfam family "Archaeal large subunit ribosomal RNA", at positions 1423 to 2791 of the family's 2987-position model. The record is from RNAcentral. Lineage: Eukaryota; Metazoa; Arthropoda; Malacostraca; Decapoda; Astacidae.